RNAcentral lists this ribosomal RNA (433 nucleotides) under uncultured bacterium. RNAcentral describes it as "partial 16S ribosomal RNA". It matches the Rfam family "Bacterial small subunit ribosomal RNA", at positions 29 to 507 of the family's 1533-position model. The record is from RNAcentral.
AACGAACGCUGGCGGCAUGCCUAACACAUGCAAGUCGAACGAGACCUUCGGGUCUAGUGGCGCACGGGUGCGUAACGCGUGGGAACCUGCCCUUAGGUUCGGAAUAACUCCCCGAAAGGGGUGCUAAUACCGGAGAAUGUCUUCGGACCAAAGAUUUAUCGCCUUUGGAUGGGCUCGCGUGGGAUUAGCUAGUUGGUAGGGUAAAAGCCUACCAAGGCGACGUUACAUAGCUGGUCUGAGAGGAUGAUCAGCCACACUGGGACUGAGACACGGCCCAGAAUCUUACGGGAGGGAGGAGUGGGGAAUAUUGGAAAGUGGGCGAAAGGAUGAUGCAGCAAUGACGGGAGAGUGAUGAAGGUCUUAGGGUUGUAAAGCUCUUUUACACGGGAUGAUAAUGACAGUACCGGGAGAAUAAGCACCGGCUAACUCCGUG